Non-coding RNA from Salmo salar (Atlantic salmon), 54 nucleotides. The record is from Rfam. NCBI's taxonomy places the organism in Eukaryota, Metazoa, Chordata, Actinopteri, Salmoniformes, Salmonidae.
UGCAUUCGCUACUGUAAGUCGCUCUGGAUAAGAGCGUCUGCUAACUUACUAAAA